AACGAGGCCGACCUGCGGCUGAGUUACCUGCGGAAGGAUCAUUAAAGAGAACUUGCCCCCUUGGGGUAGAUCUCCACCCUUUGUUUACUAUACCUUUGUUGCUUUGGCAGGCCUGUCUUUUUGACUACCGGCAUCAGCUGGUUAGUGCCUGCCAGAGGACCCUAAACUCUUGAUUUUGUACUGUCUGAGUAUUCAAUAAUAGUUAAAACUUUUAACAAUGGAUCUCAGAUCGGAAGAGCA
This 240-nucleotide unclassified non-coding RNA is filed under the name soil metagenome. RNAcentral describes it as "partial contains 5.8S ribosomal RNA, internal transcribed spacer 2, and large subunit ribosomal RNA". The record is from RNAcentral.